AGGGAUGGAUGGGAUAUUGGGAAGGGAUUCAUCCCUGGUGAGGAUGGUGAGGCCCUGGCACAGGGUGCGCAGAGCAGUUGUGGCUGUCCCAUCCCUG
Molecule: non-coding RNA, 97 nt
Organism: Turdus rufiventris (rufous-bellied thrush)
Lineage: Eukaryota; Metazoa; Chordata; Aves; Passeriformes; Turdidae
Source: the annotation of a GenBank genome assembly